This 16493-nucleotide long non-coding RNA is filed under the name Ananas comosus (pineapple). RNAcentral's name for it is "long non-coding RNA (ACOM_LNC024676)". The record is from RNAcentral. Lineage: Eukaryota; Viridiplantae; Streptophyta; Magnoliopsida; Poales; Bromeliaceae.
UAUCUAACUCAAACUUUUAAAAUUAUGGGUAAACUUCAAAUACCCCCUGUAGUUUCACACUUUCUCACUUUAAUACCUUGUUGUUUAAAGUAUAUCAAGUUAGCCCCUGUGGUUUCGCACUUUUUCACUUUAGUAUGCUGUGGUUUAAAAUGUAUCAAGUUAGUACCAUGUUGUCUCAUUUUUCUCUUUUUAUUAUUCAUUUCACUAAUUUUUUUCGUUAAAUCGGUGAGAAAGUUAAAACUAAAGUGUACUAAAAUGAAUAUUCGAUAAAGAUAUCUGAAGUUUUUUCUAUAUAAUUUAACGAAAUAUUAACGGGAAAAAAAAAUCAGUGACAAAGUUAAAACCAAAGGGUAUUAAACUAAAUAUUCGAUAAACCUAGGUAGGGUAUUUAAAGUUUUUUGUAUAUAAUUUAACAAAAUAUUAACAGAGGAAUCGACGAAAAGAGAAAAAUAAAACCAUGGAGUACUAAAUUGAUGCACUUUAAACUAUAUGGUACUAAAGUGAGAAAGUGCGAAACCACAGGGUACUAUAUUGAUACACUUUAAACCAUAGGGUAUUAAAGUGAAAAAGUGUGAAACCAUAGGAGUGGUAUUUAAAGUUUUUUCUAAAAUUAUUAUAAUUAAGUUCUAUAAUUUAAUUUAGUUGAUCAAAUUUUAAUAUAUUGAUAAUGUGAAAGUGACGUAAUAUUUUAAUUAUUAUUGUUUCAUUAAUUAUAUACCGUUAUAUCAUUUUUCUAUUAAUAACACGUCAGCAUUUAGCCAAUUAAAAUUGGUUGUGCAACUUAAUUACAACACUUUAAAAUUAAAGUUUAAGGAUCAAAGUGUCACUCGCCACAUAGUAUGAGGGCUAAAAGUGUAAUUAACUAUACUAAGGGGAUGUAUUGAAAAUAAAAAAAUUAAUAUUUACUUUUCAAAAUUUCAAAAAUAUUUAAUAUAUCUCUAAUUAAUCAAAAUUUUCUUAUUACUCAUAAAAAAUUUCUUUGAAUAUACCUAUUUUUAGAAUUGGCUAUUAAAAUUUAGAGUUUAGAAGAAUACUUUAGAAAAGGAAGGAUAAGUUUAAAAUUUUUUGAAUAAUAGUAAAGAGUACAUAAGCAAAGACCCUAAAAAAAAAAAAAAAAGGUGCUUUCGAAGCUUAAGCUUUGAUUUUUGUAGGUAAACGCUAUUUUUUAUAAUUUAAAACAUAUUAUUGUAAUAUAUAUUUAUAAAUUAAAUAUAGGAUAAUAUAUCUAUUAAUAAAUAGUAUAUAUAUAUAUAGGGACAAUUUCAAACGUGCUCCUCAAAAGUUAUAAAAUAUUAUUGAUACUCUUUCAAAACUAUUGAUACUAUUUUUAUUUUUAUAAAUUAAUAAAUUAUAUCAAAAGCACCCUCCAUCACAUGCAUUAGGGCUUUUUUUUUGCAUUUGGCCCCCUAUUUUUUUUCACAACUAGCCUCAUCAAAUUUGUAAUUAUAAAUUUGAUUCUAUUCCCGCAACACUGGUGCCACCUCAGUGCCACGCUAGAUGAGUUGAACACGGUGAAGAAUUUACCGUGUUCAAACACAGUGAAUGAUUCAGCGUGUUCCAUAUGUUCAAACACGAUGAAUAAUUCACCAUGUUCCAUAUUUAUAUUUUUCAUAUUCUUCUUUUUCAAUACUUAUAUUUUUUCACAAUACAUAUAUUUGUAUUUUUUUCAAACACGGUGAAUCAUUCACUGUGUUUAGACACGGUGAUUGAAUUACCGUAUGCAACUUAUUCCACUUUCCUUACUUACGUGGCGUUUAUCUGGCAUCCACGUGGCAGGAAUAAGGCCAAAAUUAUAAUUAUAAAUUUGGUUAGAUUAUUUGUGAAAAUAAAUUUUUUGAGGAGACGAAAUGCCAAAAAAGCCCCCAUGCAUUAAUAAUUUUUGACUAAUUUAUCAGUAGUCAUGUGUAAUUUAUAAAUAAUUGUGCAGUAUCACGUGGGGUCAACAAAUUUAUUCUUUAUCGAAAAAUAACUCGAUUUUGGAUUAUGAUUCAAUUUAUGAAACUUAAGUUUUCCUUUUUUUAUUAAUAUCAUAUGAGUCUCAUGUUAACUCAUAAUAAGUAAUUAAUUUGAAAUUAAAAAUAUGUUAUACCUUUUCGUGAAUCUAUUUCUUUUUGUCUAAAUUAAUAUAUGAUUUUUUUUAUUUACUAUUUGUAUUGUAUUUGUAAUUUUUUCCUAUACAAGGUUCGGGCAAGUGUGUACCUACGAGAUAAUUUAUUUUUACAGACAACCAAACAAGUUGAAAACCAUUUUUAGCACUGAAAAUAUUUUUUUUGCGUAUUUUUACGACAAACCAAACACAACCUCUUGUUGUCGUAAUAGUUUAUUUGGUAUCGAAGUUAGGCUAACUAUCGGAAUUAAAAAAGUUGAACAAAAAAUAUAUAUAAAAAUAUGUUCCUUCAUUUUUCAAUACAUAAAAAUGAGUUUCAGAUGGCGCAUUAAUGAAAUAAAAAGCAAACAAAGCAUAAAUACUAUCUGAAUUUUGGCAUUACAAAAACUAGUAUAUAAAUAUAUUCUAUGUAACAGAACCAAAACAUUGAAUUUGCAUUUGCCCCCUCAAAAAAAAUUAUUUUAAAAAUAAUCUCAACAAAUUUAUAUUUACAAAAAUGGCCCUAAUCCUGCCACGCAGGCGCCAUUAGCGCCACGUCAGCGGGGCGGGGGCCAGUUUGUUAAGUUGAACACGGUGAAUCAUUCACCAUGUCUAAAUACGGUGAAUGGUUCACCGUGUUGGAAAAAUAUAGUAUAUAUGUAUUGUAUUGGGAAAAAAUAUAAGUAUUGAAAAGAGGAAUGAGGGGAAUAUACGUAUAGAACACGGUGAACAUUCACCGUGUUCAACUUAACACUAUACUCCUGAUGUGGCGCCUACGUGGUGGGGAUAGGGCCAAAUUUGUAAUUAUAAAUUUGAUGAGGUUAUUUGUAGGAAAAAAAAAUUUGAGACGGCCAAAUGCAAAAAAAAUCCUGAAUUAGAACUUUUUGAUUUUCAGAACAGUAGAUUUUUUUUUUUUUUUGCCAAAUAUUUUAUUAGAAAUUGUUUAUAUCGAAAGCAAAAAUAGAAGCUACGCCAAACAGACCUUUAUAUGCAAUCCUUGCAAAUUUAUCCCUCACCAGUAGAGGGUAACACUACAUUUUUGUGUACAUGGUGCAUUACAUGUUCUUAACCAAUGGCACGUGUGAAAUCUUCAUAAUUUAAUUUGUUUUAAUAAAUAAUUUACUGAUGUCAACGCCUCAAUAUGUAGUCUAACAAUCACUGGAUAGGAUAAAAGUCAAAAUGUCUUUUUUAUGUCAAAACAAAUUAUCCACUAAUAAUUUAUGUGUUAUGAUUUUUUAUUUUAUUUUUUUUUAGUGAUUCAAGUUAAGAGUCUUGAAAAUUUAUCUAAUUAUGUAAAAAAAGACCUCCAAGGCAAAAUAUGAUAUGCUCUCUCCAUGUUUGAUCAUAUUUAUUAUUUUCUAAAUUACAAACUUCUUAAGCAAAUAUAAAAAAAAAUUGUGUGGAACAAAAUACUGUGCAUCCAAAUAAGCCCUAAAACUAAAAUGCUAAACUAUUUGUCGCACUGAAUAUUUUCUCAUGUAGUUGUAAUUUUAAUUACCCUUCACUUACUCUACUGAUAAGUUAAAGAGAAUGCGGAGCAACGCAUCACGGACUGACAUGGGACACGACACGAUUCAAACACAGCGACUGGGCAGCUAAUUUUUGAAAUUAAGAUAUGAACAUGACAUAAACAACACUAAUAAAAUAUAAUAUUAUUAAUAUAAUAAUAUAUAAUUAUUAUAUAAAAUAUUAAUUUUGGUAAAAUAUUGUUAUAUUUUUUAUACGAAUAAAAUGUAGUAAAAUUUUUAUUGACUGUUCAUAUAUUUUAAGAAAAAAUUUUCUACUAUACAUAAUUUAUUUAUAUUGUGCAGAAAAAUUUACAUCCAUUCAUCAAAAAAUUGAAAUACUUAUCAUCUUACAUUAUAUAUACUAAAAAAAUAAUAUAUAUAUAUAUAUAUAUAUAUAUAUAUAUAUAUAUAUAUAUAUAUAUAUAUAUAUAUAUAUAUAUAUAUAUAUAUAUAUAUAUAUAUAUAUNCGACGAUCGGCUCCGUUAGAGUUGAUCUAGAGUAUUUGAAGUACCUAGAAAAUAAAUUUUGUGAUUUUUUGAUAUCAUUUGCCUAGUGAUUGAAGGUGUUCAAAAUCAAUAAUUUUAAUGGCCAUAAUGAGCCGUUUGCAAGUUUAACGGUGUAGAAAUAUUCAAAUCACAUAAAAUUUUGAUAGAAAAUUCUUUAUACCAUAUAAAACAAGAUCAAUAACUUUGAUCUAAAAUUUUAAUAUCGUAUCAUCAUAUUUUAUAAGAUUUUUAUUUUCAACCGUUGAUUUUGAGCUACUUCGAUCACUAGGCAAAUGAUAUCGAAAAAUCGCAAAAUUUAUUUUCUAGAUACUUCAAAUACUCUAGAUUAAGUCUAACGGAGCCAAUUGUCGAUUCGAAAGUCCGAACAUCGAAAACAACUUGGAAGCACGGAGUGCUCCGUGCUUCCAGAAGCAUACCAGACGCACUAUAUAUAUAUAUGCAUUGUGAAUCAGCAUUAAGGCUUCGGUUGGAAUUACGGCGAGAUUGCGUUAUGUGCGGCGAGAAAAUACGUUGAAAAAAUAUCAUAUUUAUUUUCGUACAUAAUAUUACAUCCCGUAUAUCGCGAUGAGUCGAUUACGAUAUAUUUUCUACGGUCCCACCGAAAAAUGUAAAAGCAUAUUCCUAUAUACUUUUACUCUAUUUUUUAUUUAAGAGUGUUAGAUAGGUCUCAAUACCAAACUAAGCCUAAAUAUGCGUCCAAGGAGUGUCCACAUCGGACACGAGUCCGACACCGACACGUGCGUGUCCGACACAAACACACGAGGCUUAUAGAAGCUUACAUGAUAUAAAGGUGAGGGGAAUAGCCCUCUACAGCUUAAUCUGAGCCCUCCCAACUGGAAUUCGAACUCGCGUAAUUUAUACUUCUCUGGAUCCAACUUAUUCUGAAGUGGAGAUACUUUAAAGACAAGGAGCAUGCACUAAAGUUGCCAGCAGUUUCAGUCCUGAAUUUUCACAUACCACCUCACAGAUUCAUAGGAGAAGGUUCCUGUUUGGAGUCCCUCAAAUUUAUUUGUUUGGAAAGAUUAGUGGGUGUGAAUUGAUUUGUGUUCAUUUGCCAUAUUUUAGGAUGAUUUCAGUAAGCAUUAAGCAAAUCCAACCGUUUAUCUAUAUCCAACAGAAAUCAAAUACCCUCUCAAAUUACUAUACAAGUCGAAUGACUUAAACAACAUAUUAGAAGGGAAAAAAAAAAGAGAAGAAAACCAAACAUAAGAAUGUAGGCGCAAUAGUAAGUUACAUGAAUUGACAGAAGUAUAAAAUCAGUCCAAUUUUGUCUUAACUUGGAACCGAAAGAAGAGUCAAGAGUAUCAGGUUUGGUCAUUACCUUUUCACCAUAAGAGAAAAGAAGAAGAAGAAAAGAGAAACAAGUUUCGUUUUGGCAGAAUAAUCCACAUUUUUUUGAAGCUUUUAAUUUACUUGUUUCAUUCUUCCAAUUUUGUACAGAGAUCUUCUUUCUUGCCCUAGAAUGCCACUUACCAAAACAAAUUUGAAAUAAAUCGGCGCACAUCGGUUACAACAAAAAAAAAGAACCAGUGGUACAAAAUGUCUGAUGAGGAUCAUCACAUAUUCAAGGUUAAGCUAUCCUUUAUGUAUUAUUAUUAUCAAUAUAAAAGCAGGCUUUAUUAGAUAUACAAAUAACAAAUCUCAUAGAAUACAGUUGUGUCAAUCAGAUAUACCGGAUUACUACAACAGAGUUAUGAAGCAAAUUCAUUUCAAAGACAUAAGACAGAGAUAGUCGCACCUUUGCACAGGGGGAGGAAUUGGACUAGAGAAAAAUGCCGAUGAUUUGGAACAUUCUGGUUCAAAGCAAUUCGGUGGUAGUAGGCAUAUCUUAUGUCGACGAAUAUACAUUACCAACAAACACAUUGUGGCGAGAGGUUCUCAUGCUCUGCCUUCAAUCACUCGCCAAAUAUAGCGGAAAGAAGCAGGCAUUGCGCGAAUGCUGCUCUCACAGUCACUUGCUUCCGGUUCUGUUCUCGCUCCUCAUUUGUGAGUGAUGAGUCGAAACUGCCAACAAGGGAAUGGUGACAAUUAGGGCUAGGGUUUAGCUCUACCUGAAGCAGUUUUGCAGCUAAAAAAAGAAGAAAAAAAAUCAUCUUUCUUUUAGGAUUUUGCGACUUUGGCUCAUUUUUCUCUUUCUCCAAUUCUUCACUAGAGGAUACUUGAAUGACCCAGAAUGACCAUGACCGGAACUCCAGUGUAUGGAUUUUCCAAUAAUGUGGUCCAGGAGCGUUUCAGCUCAGAAGAAGAUUUUACAACAACUUAGAAAUGAGAAAAAUGGACCAAAGUUGCAAAACUGGAAAAGAAAAGAUGGAAUAUUUUUGCGGAAGCCCAUUGUCGGAUUCUUAUCUUCACUUUGCCACAAGAACAACAGGCUCCUGCGUCAACAGUCGUGAUUUUAAAUUGAAAAAAGAAAAUGAGCACAAAUCUAAUUGCCUCUAGUCUUCAGAAAUCUAAGUGCCUCUUUAGUCUUUAGAAAUCUAGUUGCUUCUUUAGUAUUCUGCAACUAUACGUUUCUAGGUUUAUUUUUCCUAUUAAGGUAUGUAUCUUGUCCUCAAUGACCCAACAUGAAUACUGAUAAGUUCGAGUGCAGCAUUAACCUAUCAUAAAGCUGAAAUAAAUUGACCUACCUAUUACAUGACCAGGAAACUAUUGCUGUGCAUUGUGCUCUGCUACAUUGUCUUCUGCAGUUGUCUUAGGAACUUUCUGAAGUUGCUUAUUUUAGCUCUACUACUCCAUCAUAAUUGUUACCUAAAAGAUCGAUCUAGUAGAAAACGGACCAAGAAAUAUAUAUUAAGACCUCCAAUCACAUGUAUGAUGAAUAUGAAAGGCACGUGGAAUUGCUAGAUGAGCUAGAAAAUGAGAAUUUAACCCAUUAUAUAACUACGGGAAUUUAAACCCGUUAAAUAUCAAAGAAGGGAAUUGAAUCCACGACCUCACAGAACGAAGGGGUUUAGAAUUGGCCCCAAUUCCAUUCUACAAAAGAUCGAUAAACAGGCCUAGAAAUUUAUAUUAAUAAUAAUUACUUCCAGAAAUACGUUAAAAGUAAUCGUAUUUGGUGUCUACAGACCAAGAGGCUGUGGUAUGACCAUCAUAUUGAUGUUUAGGAGGCUUAGGAACUUCCUGAGACUAAAAAGUGAGCAGGUAUCCUGUCGAAUCAAGUAAAUGGAACCAGACACAAAGGUUGCAGAGCAGUGCAGCUCAAGAUGAGUGCUUGUAAAGUGGUUCAGAAGUUGUAUUUACCACAAGCGUAGCUGUUUGGAUAAGAUAAAUAAAGAUUUCCGUUCUAAAAUUAGAAUUGAGUUUUCACAGCUCAAGAUUGAGAGAAACAAGAAUAAAGACCUGUAUAGACAUUGAUAAGAGCAUUUAUGUACAAGAAAGAUUUAAGUUUACAGUUCAAAUGCACAUCUGACCAUAUUUAUAUGAUCAUAUACAAUAUAAACUUCAAAUCGCCUUACCCCUCUAAUCUUACAACUUUGAGCAAACUUUUAUCUCCCAAUCAAAAUUUACGUGUUUUAUGCCAAAUGUAAGCUUCUGAUCUAUCUUUUCAAUAAUAAUAUAACUGGCACUUGAACCUAAACAUUCUUAGCUUUGCUUUUGGAUUGAAACUUCUUCUCCUUGUCAUGCGACAGUUAUUAUAAAAGUCAUAUUAUAACUUAACAUAGGAUGCGAGAGAUCUAAGCGAAAAAUAAGAAUUUUGACUGUCAAUCAAUCACCCCCUCCCUAAAAUAAUCUGUGGCAACAAAUAUGAACAUACAGGACAAUUUUUCCAAUCAUAUCCAUUGACCCAUUCUCUAAAAGGCCAUGGUUUGAAUUAGAGCUGCCUUGGAAUCUAUAUAUAGGGAUACUAGACCUCCCACUUUCUUCACAUACUCCAGUGAGAGUCUCAUCAAUUCCGCUCAUAACAGAGAGCAGGUAAGAGGAGAAACCAGAAGACCCAAAGUCCAGUUGUGCAGAUCUGAAUCAAACUUAAGGAUUCAUUUGAAAAGUAUGGUCCACAACUUAGAGAAGAAUGCAAUGGCGAACUACCUUGAUCUUAUAAGCUCCCAUGACCGUCAAAAAAAGAGGUGCUAUCCUAAAUUACUAACAUGAAGAAAACUGCUACUAGAUUCUUGAUAUAUGAACAUAUAUUAAGAAAGAGUCUAGCUAAAAUGUAUAAUCUAAAACCUUCAUUUCUUCAGACAAAAAUUGUAGAAGUAUAUAAUGAACAGAAACAGAAGUUCUAGGAAGACAGCCAAAACUAUCAUUCCAAGCAUUUACUUUCUUUUCUUAGAGAUUUUUGACAAAGGGAUUUUUCUCUCAUAAAUAGAUCAGGUAAAUCACUGCUUUCUCACAAAAUUGAUAUUUUCUGUCAAUAGUGCAACAUUAAAUGAACAUAAGAAAAACAAGAAUUCAAAAGAUACCUUGACUUCCAAAUCUUGAGAGGGGUUUCUUCCUCUAUACAAGCAUUCUCUCCUGUUGGUAUGGGAGAUUUUAAAGUUUCUUCUGCUUCUAAUGUUGGGAAAUUUAAAAGUGAAGAAAUAAAAGAAUCAGAAGCAGCAUUUGUUGACAUGCUACUGCUUGAUUUAUAUCCACCACCUCCCAAAAGCAACUGCAUAUGAGCCUCAUUAAGGUCCCUACCCAACAAAGAAAUCGCCUGGCUGCUGGGAAUGGAAAAUCGAGGUAACCUGCGACGUCUCUGUAUGUGAUCAUAAGUUAAAGAAAAAGCAACAACAUCUGAAUACUUGCACCUUAUGAUGCUUCCAACCUGAUCAGGUGCAUCUAUCUAUAACUAAAUAUCCCGAAAAACUUUGAAAAGGAAAAGGAUAUCUUAAAGAGAUGCCCAUGUUGCAGAGUAAUAUGAUUCAGCAUGUCUCUGGUAAUCUUAACAGAGCAAAUGGGGCAAGCCUGAAAUAUGUGAGUCAUCAGUUAAAGAAGAAAAAGAAAAAGAAAAAGAAAAGAAAAUCUGCACCAUGAAAGUGAACUGCAUCAGAUUUGUUACAUAAGUCAAAGCAAAACAAGUAUCUCCAUAGUUGUAUUGAAAACCGAGACCUCAAAAUAUUACAAGUAUCUCCAUAGUUGUACUGAAGACUGAGACCUCAAAAUAUCAUGUAGUCUCUACAGCGAGUUUUCUUAGAAGCUUGCAGGACCAGCUAGGGAUGGCAAGAUUUCUUAAAUCUGAGAGAGAUUUAACAAGAAACUUUCUAAAAUCUCUAGUAUAACUAAUUCUUUGCAUCCUUUAUAAGCCCAAGUAAAGAGAGUUUCCGCAAUUAAGUUCAGACAAAGGUAGAUAUAUCUAACUAACAUAUCAAGAAAGAAAAGGUAUAUUAUCCUUCUAAAAUCGAAGGUGCUAUAUAGCAUUUUCCUUUUAUGCAUGAUUUUCAUAUUGUCAUUGUUUCACCAAUCAUUUGAAUUUAAAGUCAUCAAUUUAGCUUAAAUUAUAUACCAGAAGGUCAACUGCUAUUCACACCAUGGGCAAAUUAAUUUGCUCUGCAAUUUGCCCCUCAGUAUUUUAUUUGCACAGUAACUGAGUUAUGUUAUUUCACCUGCCAUUGAUCGAACUUAAGCUAGAUAACUGCAUCUAGAGAUAUGUCGUCUUUCAUGGAUGUCUAUCAUAGUCCAUUUUUCUUAUUUCCUGUAAAUGGUGCCAGUAGGGCAAGAAAAUAUAGAGUUUUCAUUUUUCUAAAUUAAUAGCUUUGAUUUUGGCUUUUUGAUCAAUUUAGAGACACAGAAUGCCGGAGAGUCAGGACAUCUAUAAUUAGCUAGGAUUCAAACACAAUCAGAAUUAGCUGAAUUCAUCACGUAAAAAGGUAACUCCCAGAUACUAAUAUGCAAACAUUCAAAGUCCAACAUACCACUUAAAAUGUCCUUGUAGUUUAGUAUCUUCAUGAAUAUCAUUUCGGUAAACAAGCCAAUUUUUUUUUACCACAUGAAGGUGGACUUCCCGAAUUCUUACCCCAUGAAAAGUAACAAUAAAUGAAAUAAUUUGGAUAUAUCCACUUGAACGAUGCGUCUAUGGUUCUCAAGUGCUAUCAUGAAAACGGGACAAAAUGUAGCAAACCAAAUGGAAGGACAAUGAUCGGAUUGUAAAUACUGUGCUGAUUAAGCAUUAAUAGAAAAGCAAAAAGAAGGUUUUGUUUGUCACUUCCAAGACAGAAGUACUUCUAUAUACGAAAUUUCAAAUUAGAUAUAACCGCCACAAAGAAAAUACAAAUUGGUACUCAUGGUUCCGUCUCACAGUUGCAUUACCAUUUCCUAUAACAGUAACAUUCAAUAAAAUGAUCAAAAACCACAAGUUAAAAGCAUAAAGAACGACGAGCAAAUUGGAAAAUCAACCAAUCAUGGACUACCACUAUCCAAUCUUCUAGCUUAUGUUUCAUAUCAGUAUAUUAUAAUUGGAACUAACCAUCAAUUCUUUCCUGAUAACUGCAUUGAAUUAAAAAGAGUUAGUCCAUGCAAGGAAUUCCCCAUUCAGGUCAUGUAAUCUCGAAUUGUAAGCUCAUCAUAGUUAUCAACUUUGUGCAGUUUUAAAUAAGCAUAACAACUGAUGUAGUCCUCUACAAUCUCCCUCUCAUAAAAAACAAGUCCAAAUGACUAUGAAACAUCUGAUAAAGUAGUCUAUUUUGCUACCUUUUAUUGAACCUUUGGACCCUUCUUCCUACUCCUAUCCCUCCUGGCCGCUCUUCCCCACUCCCCUCCUCUCCUUAUGAUCCUUCACCCCUUACCUCACUUGCUUCCCUCAAGCCACCUUGAGACGUAGUGCUCAUCUCUCUUCUAAAUUCGCCGGCUGUAGAAUCUUAGAUCGAGCGAACAAAAUUAAGCAUGUGAAGUACCUAUCUGCUCAUCUAGUUCUACCUUAGCUGCUUCUUCGCAACCCUCCUCAAUGGGCAUGACUUAAGAUCUACAAGCCCUAUGUUGUUGAACCAUAGUUUCUAAUGUCCCCUGACAAUCGAAAAUCUCGAGGAGUCGAUGAUUCUUCUUCCACAAAAGCAGCUUUGUUGAUUUAGGUGUUAGUUGCUUCGGAAGAAAAUGGGCAACCUUUUUCAUUGGUAGCAGAGCUUAUUUUUCUUCUGCACUGAGUCCUCUGCCUGUGCUUUUUCCUUCCUUUUUGCUCUUUCGCAUAUUUAUGUUAGGCUAUUUUGUGCUUCACCCCCCCCCCCUUUAGGAUAGGUUAGUUUGAGUUCACCGCUGACCUUUUAUAUAGUGGUUGUGCCGGGAUAGGAGUUUAAAAUUGUGUACUUUUUUUUAAGGAAUCACCUUGUGUCUUACAUUCAAAUAGUAGUCCCUUUUGCAAAAACCCAUUAACUGGUCUACAAGCUAAUCUUUAUUUUGCUAAAACUCGCAAAAAUUAUCAUAACAGAUACCGCAACAAAGAAAAAGGUUACAAUUUCUAGGGUUUCGACACUCACGGCGACUUUAGACUCAAACGGAUGCUCUUCUUCGAGGUGGGCACACAGCGACGCGAUGUCGUGAUCCUCGCAGCAGUACGGGCACGGGAAGUCCGGCCGAACCUCCUCCUCCUCCGCAUCGAACUCGUCGAACCCCAUCCGAUCCACAAACCCUAAACUCCUCAAAUCCACCCCAAAAAAAAAAAAAAAAUCUCAGCAAGACCAACAAAAACCCAUCCCGAUACGAUCCACCCCGUCUCAUAAUCCCAGUUUCGAAGGCCCCCCCAAAAAAAAGGAAAGAAAAGAAAAGGCAUCAAACGCGGGAGACGAACCUGAUUGGGGGUUUUGGUGGAGCAAAUUCGCGAUGUGCCGCUUCGCGACGGCGAGGCGGGAGAUCCACGGAUCCGAAUCCAUCGAUCUCUCUCUUCGCUUUUCUUUUCGGGGAUUUUUCGGGGGAAUUUAUUAGGGUUUUUGCUCGAUCGAGAGAGAGAGAGAGAGAGAGAGAGAGAGAGGGAGAAGAGGACGAAGAAGAAGAAGAAGAAGAAGAAGGAGAAGAGGGGUUUUAUCGGUUUCUGUCGACACCGGACCGCGUCGGUCCGCGUGCUGACGUGGCGGAGCGGAGGCGGGUGGGCGGUUGCGGCGGGCUCGGCUCCGACCGCGACAGAGAUGGCACGGCCCACGGGUGGUGCGCCCGCCAUCUACGAGCGGAUAAACCUCACGUGACAUCCGCGUGAGCAAGUCAAAAUGUGUUUGCUCCAUAGUGGGGCAAUUGUUUGUACAUCUCUUAAAAAAAAUUGAAUUUUUUUAUUUAUCUCUUUUAAAAGAUUAAUAUUAACGUUUCAAGCUAUUUUAAAUAGAAUUUUUUUAUAAAUAAUUCUAGCUAUUUUUAGAACUAUAAAAAUAUUUUUUUAAAAAAAUUAAUUAUAAAAAUAGAUCUCUAAUAUGCCAGAUUGAAUUUUUUUUAAAUAAAUAAAUAAUAUAGGCGAUAGCGGUAAAUCAUUUAUCAUUUUUAUAACUCCUCCUAAAAUCACUAAAUUAUUUUUAAAUGCGAUGAAUCAUUCUCCUUUUUUAUUAUCUUAUCCUAAACCUUUCUUUUAUUCUCUCUCAUUUUUUCAUCGUUCCGUCUCUUCACGUCGCCGUCACUGUCUCUCAUUUUUUCAACAUUCUCUCGUUCUGUCUCUCUCUUUGCCACAAUGUCGUUGUCGAUGCACCCACAGUUACAGAGUCAUAGAAAAGAAUAAAAGAGGAAAGAAAGCGGUGAAUGAUUUUACCGUUUUUAAAAACGGUGAAUUAUUCACUGUUUUUACUAAAUCGGUAAAUGUUUCACCGCAUUUCUUUCUCUCUCCGCCAUAAAAGGGUUAGUGCACUAAACUCUUCCUUUUAAAUAUAACCCUAGAGUUAAGGGGAAAAAAUAAACUAUAGUGCAAGGAGAAGGAGAGAAAGAAGAGAGAGAAAGAAUAUGGGUAUUUUAGUUAGUUUUUAAAAAAUUCAAGUACAACCUGCAAAAUAAAAAAAUACAAUAUGAUUUUACAAACACACAAAAAUAAUAAAUUUUUUAAGCAAAAAGGCUUAAAAUAUUUUAUAUUAAUCUUUAUCCUUACUUCUCAUUUAGAGAAAAAAUUAGUUUUUUUUCAUUCAUUUUUUUAAAAAAAAUUAAACUAAGUUAGAAAUGUGAAGCAACUGAGCUUCAAACUUGAGACCUACUUUAGCCUUUUGCAAAAAAAUAUAUUGAUAUUGCAUUUUUGCAAAACUAGAUUUUUUUUUUGGAUUUUGCAUAUCUAAUCUAGAUUUAAAAAUCUAAAUAAAAUGCUCAUAUUUCUCUCUCUUUCCUUCCUCUCUCUCUCAUCCCUAUCAUAUUCUUCAUUAUGGAGCCGUAGUUACGGACACCGUCAUCACUCUCUUCCUUUCCCUCCUCUUCUUGAAUCAGAAUACAAUUGAAAAAAUGAAAUAAAGAAAUAAAACCAUCUAAAAUAAGCCUACGAAAUGAGAUUCAAUUGGUAAUCUAAUAAAGAUAAAUGUUAUUAUACUGAUGUAGAAUGGCAGAAGGACCUUGCAACCAGCUACCACUAGCACAGCGAUAGUUCAACUCGUCGCACUGUCAUUAGAGGUAAUCACACUAAUGCAUUAAUAACUUCUUUAGUAUCACUGUGAAUGAUGGUUUGAGAAUAAGGAAGAGAAUUGACAAUAUUUGUUGCAGGUAAAAUUGCGCAUGUCUUUCUCUUAGCAAUAAAACUUAUCCAAAUAACCUUUACAACAUCACCGAGAAAAAACUGUACCUUUCUUUCAAAGGCAAUGCUAAUGCCAUAUUUACGUGCAUCCCAAGUAGCAUCUACCCAGCGUCAAAGAUCACAAACUUGAUUCUUUGUAGCACAAUAUUUUGUAAAGUUAUAUUCUAAAAGAUGUAUCCUGUAUAAUAAAAAUAUUAAUUAUUCAACAUACAUGCAAUUUUAUAAAAAUAUUGUGACGCAAAUAGUACGAUAUUUAUAUAAAUAGUUUUAAUUUGUGCAAUAUUUUUUAUCUUUUUCUUUCUUUCCUCUUCUUUAUCUUCUACUUUUUUUUUCCUUAUGUUUCUUCAUACUUCUUCUAUCCCUCGCUACCAACCACGGUUGCCAACCCGUGCGCUCACCUGAGACUGUUUCGGUGUUCAUAAUUUAAGAAAAAGAAGGAAAAACAAUAUGUUGCACUAUUGCACUCUAAUUGCGAGUAGGGCUACUAUACUCUUAGGGCGCAUUUGGUUCAAGUUAUAUAAUAUUACAGAGUAUUUCGAUAUAUCCAGGUAUUUUGGAUUUCUAAAAGAGAUUACUCCUUAUACUGAAUUAGCGCGUUUGGUUUAAUACAGUAAUAUAAUGCUGAAUUGCAGUGGUUAUAGCAUUGCUAUGUUUGGUUCUAUCUAUAAAAUUCAGUAAUCCAGACAAUAAAGUAUAGUCUAUUCCAAAAUUGCCCUUAAUCAUAUUUUGUAAACUUUUUUUUUUACUGUUUACAAAUAAUAUUUUUUUGCUAAAUUUUAUUUUAAAUAAUUUAAUUUUUGAAAUUUAAAUUUUAAAUUUGAACAAAAAUAUAAAUUUAAUAUUUUAAUUUAAAAUAUAAAUAUGAAAUUUAUAAAUUUAAAAUCCAAAAUAUAAAUAUAAAUAUAAAUAUAAAUAUAAAAUUAAAAAUCUAUAUUUAAAAUUCAGAAAUUAAAAUACAAAUUUGAAUUUUAAAAUUUAAAAUUUAAAAUUUAAAAUUUAAAAUUUGAAAUUAAAAAUUUAAAAUUUAGAAUUUGAAAUUUAAAAUUUAGAAUUUAGAAUUUGAAAUUUAAAAUCUAAAUUUUUAAACUUCAAAUUUAAAAUUUUUUAAAUUUUAAAUUUUAAAUUUCAAAUUUCAAAUUUCAAAUUUAAAUUUGAAAUUUAAAAUUUAGAAUUUAUAUUCAAAUUUAAAAUUUAAAUUUUAAAUUUGAGGUUUAAAAAUUUAAAUUUUAAAUUUUUUUUUGAGUUAAAAGUUGACAAUUCAAAUUUUUAAAUUAAAUUUUUUAAAUGACAUAUUAAAAGGGUUUUGGGAGUUAGAGGGGUAAAAUUGUCAUUUUACAUAAUAUGUAGUAUUACCGGUUUUCAGUAAUGCAAAAUACACGAUCCCCCUCUCGUUAAUAUUUUCAGUGUAAUCCUGCUCGAUUUGUAAUGCUACAUUAACGACUAAAUUACAUAGUGGAUGAAGCAAACACAGUAAUUCUGACAGGAUUGCCUCUAAUCCUGCCAGGAUAACUCGAACCAAACGCACCCUUAUGAGUAUAGAUCUCUUUAUACUCAUAAUAUUUUCGGCUGUUAGAUAAAGGGAUGCGUCGGUUAGAAUAGUAGUGGUCCCUUAAGGUUGAGUAGAUGGUUGGUUGAAUAGUAUGAUCUAAUGGGUGGAAAUGAUUAAAGGGGUAGAUCUAACGGUCAAAAAAUUAUGAAUAUAAAAAGGUCUAUACUCAGAAGAGUAUAUAGUAGCCGAACUCCUCUAAUUGCACUAUUUAGACAAAUAUUAUGUUAUUUGCACUGCACUAUUUGUAUAAAAUUGCACUUGUGUUACACGAUUUGUAAUUUUCUUAUACAAAUACUCUUUCAUUUUUACUUAUUAUUUUUAUGUCAUAUGAUAGUACACGACCUUUGAGUAAAAAGUAAAAAGUAUAUGCAGGCUAGGGUGUCAACGAGCCGAAUACGAGCGAGCUGGGGUCGGCUUUUAUUCGGAACGAGACGAACGAUUUGGUUCGUUAAAGUAUCGAGCCGAAAAGUUCAGCUCGUGUUCGACUCGUUUAUUAACGAGCUGAACACGAACUGGCUAACGAACACGAACAACAAGUUAAGGACUGUUUGGUUUGCAUGUAGUUGCAAGUGCACUGCAAUUAUAACUGCAUGUAAAUGCAAAUUCGGUGUUUGGUUUGAUAUACUUAACUCCAACUGCUGUAAUAGAAACUGUAGGAGAAGGUCUAACUGCAGUAGUUGGAACUACACCCAAAUUCGCCUCAGUUCCAAUUGUAGCAGUUGGAGAGAAUAACUUUAAGCAAAAAGUAAGUUUACCUUUUUAAUUUUUUUAAACAAAAAAUAUAUUUUUUCUAUAUUGGAGAUAAUCUUACCAUCAUAUAUAUAAAAUAAUAAAAUUUUAAAUUUUAUUUCUCAACUGCGGGCAACCAAACAAAUUAUUUGUAGUUACAACGCUUACUACAUCCAACCAAACAGGAUAUAUGUAGUUACGAGUGCUGCAUUUCCAACUGCGUGCAAACUUCAACUAUAUAUUAUAUUUAUAAUUAUAUCUAACCAAACAGUCCCUUAAAAAAAUUAGAUAUGAUAUAUAUAUAUAUAUAUAUAUAUAUAUAUAUAUAUAUAUAUAUAGAUUGGAAUUGAGCUAUAAUAUUUUUAGAAACACCAAUUCCUUGGUGCUUCUAGGUUUCUAAUAUUUGGAUCUACUCCUUGAUUAUUAAUAGUUCUUGAAUUAAACACUAUUUUAUCUACCAACACCUACCACCAUCAUCCUAACCUUACAUCUCUCCAUCCAAAAGCUAAAAAUUCAAAAGCAC